This is a small nucleolar RNA of Psammomys obesus (fat sand rat), 143 nucleotides long. RefSeq annotates it as small nucleolar RNA SNORA48. The record is from RefSeq and is a predicted model, not a curated record. NCBI's taxonomy places the organism in Eukaryota, Metazoa, Chordata, Mammalia, Rodentia, Muridae. The transcript has a single exon.
CACCCCGGGAAUAGGCAAAGAUACACUUUGUUGGUGGAGUUGUUCUGAUAUCAGUGAGGGGCAGAGCAGAUGGCAGUCCUUUGUUCAUUCUAGCUUGGAGUCUGCUUUGGUGGCCAGAGCUGUCUUAUGCCUAGGACUCAAAA